UAGCAUAUCAAUAAGCGGAGGAAAAGAAACCAACAGGGAUUGCCCCAGUAACGGCGAGUGAAGCGGCAAGAGCUCAAAUUUGAAAUCUGGCCUCCUCCGGGGGUCCGAGUUGUAAUUUGCAGAGGAUGCUUCGGGUGCGGCCCCCGUCUAAGUUCCUUGGAACAGGACGUCAGAGAGGGUGAGAAUCCCGUCUUGGGCGGGCGGCCCGCGCCCGUGUGAAGCUCCUUCGACGAGUCGAGUUGUUUGGGAAUGCAGCUCUAAGCGGGUGGUAAAUUUCAUCUAAAGCUAAAUAUUGGCCGGAGACCGAUAGCGCACAAGUAGAGUGAUCGAAAGGUUAAAAGCACCUUGAAAAGGGAGUUAAACAGCACGUGAAAUUGUUGAAAGGGAAGCGCUUGCGGCCAGACUCGGGGGCGGGGUUCAGCGGGCGCUCGUCGCCCGUGCACUCCCCGCGCCCCGGGCCAGCAUCAGUUUCGACGGUCGGUCAAAGGCCCCCGGAAUGUGUCGUCUCUAGGGACGUCUUAUAGCCGGGGGUGCAAUGCGGCCCGUCGGGACUGAGGAACGCGCUUCGGCUCGGAUGCUGGCGUAAUGGCCGUAAGCGGCCCGUCUUGAAACACGGACCAAGGAGUCUAACAUCCACGCGAGUGUUCGGGUGUCAAACCCGUGCGCGCAGUGAAAGCGAACGGAGGUGGGAGCCUUUGGGCGCACCAUCGACCGAUCCUGAAGUCUUCGGAUGGAUUUGAGUAGGAGCGUGGCCGUUGGGACCCGAAAGAUGGUGAACUAUGCCUGAAUAGGGUGAAGCCAGAGGAAACUCUGGUGGAGGCUCGCAGCGGUUCUGACGUGCAAAUCGAUCGUCAAAUUUGGGCAUAGGGGCGAAAGACUAAUCGAACCAUCUAGUAGCUGGUUCCUGCGA
RNAcentral lists this ribosomal RNA (910 nucleotides) under Trichophyton sp. DV-2018d. Its description in RNAcentral is "LSU rRNA". It matches the Rfam family "Eukaryotic large subunit ribosomal RNA", at positions 36 to 963 of the family's 3401-position model. The record is from RNAcentral. Lineage: Eukaryota; Fungi; Ascomycota; Eurotiomycetes; Onygenales; Arthrodermataceae.